Molecule: ribosomal RNA, 408 nt
Filed under: uncultured bacterium
Lineage: Bacteria
Description: partial 16S ribosomal RNA
Rfam family: Bacterial small subunit ribosomal RNA
Source: RNAcentral
AGUGAACGAUGGCGGCGUGCCUAAUACAUGCAAGUCGAACGGAGUGGAGCACGUGGGAGUAAUGUAUAGGUAAUCUGCCCUACACUAGAGGAAAACAGUUGGAAACGGCUGCUAAUACUCUAUAGUGUAGGAUGAGGCUAUAUUGUAUCAGCUAGUUGGUGAGGUAAUGGCUCACCAAGGCUAUGACGCAUAACUGGUCUGAGAGGAUGAUCAGUCACACUGGAACUGAGACACGGUCCAGACUCCUACGGGAGGCAGCAGUAGGGAAUAUUGCUCAAUGGUGGAAACCCUGAAGCAGCAACGCCGCGUGGAGGAUGACACUUUUCGGAGCGUAAACUCCUUUUGUUAGGGAAGCGGUACCUAACGAAUAAGCACCGGCUAACUCCGUGCCAGCAGCCGCGGUAAUAC